AGUGAACGCUGGCGGUAGGCCUAACACAUGCAAGUCGAACGGCAGCACAGUAAGAGCUUGCUCUUACGGGUGGCGAGUGGCGGACGGGUGAGGAAUACAUCGGAAUCUACUUUUUCGUGGGGGAUAACGUAGGGAAACUUACGCUAAUACCGCAUACGACCUACGGGUGAAAGCAGGGGAUCUUCGGACCUUGCGCGAUUGAAUGAGCCGAUGUCGGAUUAGCUAGUUGGCGGGGUAAAGGCCCACCAAGGCGACGAUCCGUAGCUGGUCUGAGAGGAUGAUAAGCCACACUGGAACUGGGACACGGUCCAGACUCCUACGGGAGGCAGCAGUGGGGAAUAUUGGACAAAGGGCGCAAGCCUGAUCCAGCCAUACCGCGUGGGUGAAGAAGGCCUUCGGGUUGUAAAGCCCUUUUGUUGGGAAAGAAAAGCAGCAGGUUAAUACCCCGCUGUUCUGACGGUACCCAAAGAAUAAGCACCGGCUAACUUCGUG
Molecule: ribosomal RNA, 492 nt
Filed under: uncultured bacterium
Lineage: Bacteria
Description: partial 16S ribosomal RNA
Rfam family: Bacterial small subunit ribosomal RNA
Source: RNAcentral